UCGAAAGAUAAAGUAGAAAACAAAGACGGAAAAUUGCUAUGGGAAUUAAUUGAAGAAAGGUUGGGAAGUCUUGAAUGGGGUGAAGGAAUGGGACAAGGAGGUGGAAUUUACCUGGAUAGGUAAAAGAGGGGAAAUGGUAAUCGACUACGUAAUAGUAAACGGAUUAGCAGAAGAAGAGGUAGAAACAUUCAAGAUAGGAGAAAGAGUGGACUCCGAUCACAUGCCACUAGAAGUAAAAGUGAGGGGAAUAUGUAGAGGGAGCGGAUGCUUAAGGAAUGAAGUAGGAAAAGAGAAGAAGAUAUGGGUAUGGAAUGGAAAAGGAAUUGACCAUUAUAAAAAAAAAUGUUGGAAGUGGAAUUUAAAGAAAAAGGAACUGAAAAGAAGAUGGAAGAAUUAAAAAGAGAAAUUGAAAACGCAGCCAUAAGAAAAGCAAUUUUAACGAGAAAUUUAGAAAAGAGAAACAGAUGGUGGGAUAGCAGAUGCAGAGAUUUAAAAACAGAAGCAAGAAAAUGUUUACGAAGGUGGAAAAAGGGGAAAGGUAUAAAAGAAGAGUACUGGCAAGCAAAAAAUAAUUAUAGAAAACGAUGCAAAAAAAGAAAGAAGAGAUACAGCAAGAAGAAGAAGAAAAAAUUAAAGCCAUAAGAACUGAGCAAGAGGCAUGUUAGUAUGUAAAUAAAGAACGCAAGAACAAAAUCACGAUUAGUGAAGACAUACCUAUAAUGCAGUGGACGAAACAUUUUAUGGAACUGUUGAAUGGACAGGAAGAGAGAAUUGUAGUGCAAGAUAGUAAAACCGGGGUUGGUGGUAGAGAAAGGGAGGCUGAGAUUCGAGUAGAGGAAAUAGGAAAAUAAGUAGGAAGACUGAAAAGAGGAAAAGCACCGGGGAGGGAUGGGUUGGCAAACGAAGUGUGAAUAUUUGGGACAGAUGGGAUGAUUGAAAGAUUGAGCGAGUUAAUGAAUGAUGUGUGGACGGGUAAAGGUUUUUCCAGAGAAUGGAGAGUAGGGCAAAUAUGCCCAAUUCAUAAAAAAGGUAGUAAAGAAAAAGCAGAGAAUUAUCGGGGAAUAACUCUCCUAAAUACGGCAUAUACACUGUGCAAUGGUGUUAAAUGAAAAGUUGGUGACAGAGAUGAACGAAAAGACUAUAUUACCGGAAAGUCAAGCGGGAUUUAGAAGAGGUAGAGGGGCUAUGGACAAUGUAUACAGGGACAUUUUUUUAACUCUGAACAUACACCAGAAAGUCCCUAUGUUCAAUCUGAACAAAAAAAAAAAAACACAUCAAUGUAUUGAAAGUAUACAACCAAGAUUACAUCAAACCUACGUGAUUAAUAGAAAAAAAUUAAACUUGCCAACUUGUCAACUUGUCAAAAUAUAAUUUGGAAAUUUAAGAAAUGAAUACAACAGAAGAAAAUGUACAAAUAUUAAAUUGGUUCUAUCGCCAUGUAAUCAUUCGAAUUGUGGGUAGUUGGAUGUGGAGGACUUCCAUUCAUUUGAAACGAAACCAGUCAUCAUUAAUAUUUAAGUUUUGAAUUUGGUGCACUAUGUGGUAACGAAGCAGUCAUAAAAAGGAAUCAGAAUUCAAAUUUUCUUCAAUAAAAAAUGGGCCAGGUUUAAGGUUUGGUUUAUAUUUCCUUCCAACAUUUUAGCCCUACGGUUAUAUUAUGCUCUUGUCAAAUUUUACAGACGAGGAUUAGCAUUUGACUAAUAUCUGUAAAGAAAAGAAAAAGAUAUGAAGGGACAAGGGAGUUAACAGGACUAACCGAUAACUUUGGGAAUAGACUUCACCAUCUAAUGAUAAUAAUGCUUCAUCUGCAAAUACGAUGUUUUGUAAAAUGUUUUUAUUGUUUCUUAAAUUAAAUACUGUUUCUCAAAAA
Zophobas morio is the source of this 1870-nucleotide long non-coding RNA. RefSeq lists it as uncharacterized. NCBI's taxonomy places the organism in Eukaryota, Metazoa, Arthropoda, Insecta, Coleoptera, Tenebrionidae. The record is from RefSeq and is a predicted model, not a curated record. The transcript is spliced from 2 exons.